Molecule: ribosomal RNA, 322 nt
Filed under: uncultured eukaryote
Lineage: Eukaryota
Description: partial 18S ribosomal RNA
Rfam family: Eukaryotic small subunit ribosomal RNA
Source: RNAcentral
CAAUAGCGUAUAUUAAAGUUGCUGCAGUUAAAACGCUCGUAGUCGUUGUCCAACUAUACACUUCAUUUGCUAAUGCGAACGAAGUCAUUAGUUUAGCGGAAACUUUGUUUCGGCCAAAACCUUGAGGAAAUCUUAGUGUUCCAAGCAGUUAACGUUGUCCUCCCCAGCAUGGUAUUCAACCCAAUCGAAGGAGAUUGUCGAAUCUUCAUCAACCUAAAUAGAAAUUCUAGGGGGUAUACGUACUUUAAUGUCAGAGGUGAAAUUCCUAGAUUUUUAAAAGACGAGCAAAUGCGAAAGCAUUGGCCAAGCGACUCUUCCUUGA